AGUGAAGAUAAUGAUACUUUGUUCAGAUAUAUAAUCUCACAGGAAAUUUUCUUUUUCCACUGAUGUACAUAAUAGUAAGAGAGGUAGCUCUAUCCCAUCUCAUAGAUCUCUCACUCUAUCUAGUAAUCAUGCGAAUGUCCGCAUUCAGACGUUUUCAUUGCAAAAUAGAUAUGAAGUACCAUCAUUUUCACUCUCUGAUUGGCCUGAUCUCUAUCCCUUGAACAACCAGACC
This 232-nucleotide unclassified non-coding RNA is filed under the name Hevea brasiliensis (rubber tree). Lineage: Eukaryota; Viridiplantae; Streptophyta; Magnoliopsida; Malpighiales; Euphorbiaceae. The record is from RNAcentral.